CCUUAUAUUUGGCCCAUUCUCUUGUCAACUGAUUCCAUUUGAUCAAUUUUACUUGUAUGCACCCCCAUUCCAUUUUCUUUUAUUAUUUAAUUAUUGUUUCUUUUGUUUUUAUUUAAAUUACCUCAUUUUAUCCAAAAAUCCCCAAAUAAUUCAUGAAUAAUAUUUUGUAUGUUCUUUAAUUUUCCAUAUCUUUUUUUUCAUUUUUUAUUUAUUUUAAUAUUUGUUUUGAUUUUUAUAAUUAAAU
This 244-nucleotide long non-coding RNA is filed under the name Lathyrus oleraceus (garden pea). RNAcentral's name for it is "Pisum sativum (pea) long non-coding RNA (PSAT_LNC025656)". The record is from RNAcentral. Lineage: Eukaryota; Viridiplantae; Streptophyta; Magnoliopsida; Fabales; Fabaceae.